Molecule: long non-coding RNA, 2587 nt
Organism: Homo sapiens (human)
Lineage: Eukaryota; Metazoa; Chordata; Mammalia; Primates; Hominidae
Source: Ensembl
GAGAGUCCAGGACCCUGGCAUCCGGCCUCUUCUUCCCAUUUGCAACCUAAGCAGACAGGACCUGCUGUCUAUAUCCCUUAAUCCUGGCCCCCUGCCAUCUCCAAUCCCUGCUUAAAGGUCCUUGAUUCUGGACUCAAAUCUAAUUUCUGGUCUUGUCGAUUGUCCAUGACGGUCGCCCACCAGGAGAGGCUCCCCAGCGCGAAACGUGCUGCAGCUGAGCGACAGCGGCGGAUUUUGGCGCUUUGGCCCAGACUCCCUGCCCGAAGCGCCCCGGGACUCCGCCCUGGAGACUGCGCCCUGGAGGCUCCGUAGGGGUCUGUCUUCCUCUGCGGCAGGAGGGGGCGCACGGGGAUUUCUGCCACUGAGGCUGCGCUCACCACCCUGGAAACCAUCACGUCCAGCCUUCCUUCCCUGGGCACAGAGGAGACCUGCCUCAGGCGAAGUUCUUCUGUGGAAUUAAAAAGUCUCUUGGGCUCAGCUCUCCCCAGGGGCCUUCAGAACUCACCAAGGAUAGAGCUGCAGACCUCUGGUGGUCAAAUAGGGACUAAAACCGAUUACACCUACAAGUCAAUUGCAAAUCAGUCUUUCUUUCUGUUGCACCUGUGCCCCUCACUUAGUCACCUGUCUUAGAUGGAAGCUUCGGGCCCCUCCUGGGCCCCAACCCUGCGGUCCCCAGGUUCGCGGUUUUUCACGUCUAAUCUCAAUUGGCCCCUUCCCCACACACCGUGUUUGACCACCCAGUUCACAGAACGCCCCGGGCUUCCUAGUGGGCCAGGUCCUCCUUAGAGAGGCAAGAAGGUGGAGAGGGAGCGUGGACGCCGAGCGCCCGCUGGGCAAACCCGAAUCUGGGGCCUGACCUAGCCGGUAGCCGGUGACGGGGCCGGUGGUGGCUUGGAGACUCCUCUCUGGUCCUCUGCUCUUGGCCCCAGCCCCGCGCUCACAGCCACCUCCUGAAGCCGCCAGUGCUGCGUCCUCUUGGCCACGUAGGGGAAGAGCGGACUGGACGGAAGCAGCGGACUCUGGGCGCUGUCAAGGUCACUGUUGUGAAAAGCCGGGAGACCAGAUGUGGACACAGGGAGGCCUGGACCCGAGGCGCGGCUGGCCAGAGGCCUCGUGUCUGCCCCUCUUCACAGCUUCCAGGGAAGCUCCCCGCGUAUCCUCAAAGCAGAGAGCGGUUUCCAAACGGACCCCCACAGCGCCCGAUUGGGCCAUCCCGCCCCAGGCUGGAGGGUGGGUGCUCAUGGGGUCGCCAGUCACCAAGGGCCCCAUCUGAGCGCACCCGGUCCCUCCUCCAGGCUCGCCUGGGCCUCGAGGGCGGCGAACAGCUCGGCUUUGAAGAAGGCUCCGGCCGGCGCUGCCCAAGUCGGGCAGCCUUCCUGGCCCACCCGGGAGUUGAGUUUCAAGGCUUCCCGGAGAGGCCAGCCCAGAUUCGCAGCGGAGAGUUUCUCAGGCCACAAACCUCGGAGAGAAGCAGCCGUGGUUCCCUGUGCCCUGGGCCACCGCUGGGCGGGGCAGGAAGCCUCCCUGGCGUUUCCUCGCGGGCGCGACUACGAGCCGCGGAAACCAGUGGCCGCUCCACACUAUUUAAGCUGAGGUUCCUCUGCCAUGGCUGCGGUUUGCGGUUUCAGCUUAGUGUACCACUUAGUACUAAUAUUAUUACUUAGUGAACUUAGUGCACUUAGUGCUCUAAGUUUACCAAGUUUACCAUUUAUUGUACUUAGUGUACUUAGUGCUCUAAGUUUACCAAGUUUACCACUUAGUGUACCUAGUCUACUUAAUCAACACUUAGUGUAUUUAGUGUUUCAGCUUAGUGUAGAGAGGCUUCUUUCUUCCUUUUCUGGAGGAGUCAGUGGUUAGAGACGAUUUCCGUGGUUAGAGCGUACUUGGUCUUUAGAAGACGACUUUGGUGUCCAUUGCCAACCCCAUCAGAGAUCGCAGGCCUUUUCCCCUCAGUCCCAGCUCAUCAGCAAAGGUCUGGGUGGCUGUCUCCAGAGGAGACUGAACGAGGUUGUCAAAGCGGCUGGAUCAAAAGUGUUGCCAUGUCGGAUGGAGUGGUGUCCACGAUGAACCUGAGCAUGGAGAUUUCUCCCUCUGCGCUGAGGAUCUCACUGUGCACCUCCAGCCCUGGGUCCUGGUGGGCUCUGGUGGCCACUGGAGUCUUUGGAACUGCCUCCCUCUGGCUCUGCUGGGGUUGGAUUCGGGCAUCGAUGUCACACCCAGCAGGAACAACUGGGGCCACUGGAGGAUUCCCAAGGACACAGGUUGUCCUUUUCAUGCAGGAAGAAUCUGAAUCGUUUCCAUCCAGUUUCCCCGGCAUGCAGCAGAAUACAACACAAGGGGCUGCGGUCUUCUCUGACUCUUAAGGCCCUUGGAAGAUCCUGUUCUGCCAAAAUCAGGGUGAUUUGGGCAAGCAUCCUUAGGGCUCUGGACCUUAGUUUCUUUCCCUGGUUGAUUGAUUGACCAUAUAGGUGUCCUAACUCACAUAGUUGAAAAUCAGAUGUGGUGAAAGUGCAUUGAGACCAGAAACAAUGUUAUUGUCCUGAAAUGCAUGCCCAGAGAGCACUGAAUAAAUUUUUAAAACACCUGA